This 5105-nucleotide long non-coding RNA is filed under the name Canis lupus familiaris (dog). RNAcentral's name for it is "lncRNA (ENSCAFG00040008291.1)". The record is from RNAcentral. Lineage: Eukaryota; Metazoa; Chordata; Mammalia; Carnivora; Canidae.
AUGAGCACUGGGCGUUAUACUAUAUAUUGGCAAAUUGAACUUAAAUUAAAAAAAUUUUUUUUAAAACAAAACAAUAAAAACCAUCAGGAAUCCCAGCUACAGCCUCCACUUCCCCCAGUCAAGCGCCCGGCUCUCCGGGGAGGGCCCGGAGCAGCGCUUCUUGGAGGGUGUCUAGGGCCAUCUCUGCUCUGGUUGGCUGACUUCCCCAGCAAUCUUAUCCAAUCAGAGAGCAGAGCUGCCUCUGGCUAUUUACAUAUGCUCUGUAACCCAAUCACAUGCUGGGUUUCCCCAAGUCCUCGUUUGCAUACAGGCCGUAUAAAUAGAACCACGGGGGGCCGGCCCACCGCAGGACCUGCUCUGUCAGCUCAGCGAGUGUGUCUGCGCGGGAGAAGCUUGGCGGUGGGAAGGGUGGGCAUCCCAGGGGGCUUUGCUUCUUUCCACGGUGGGCUCACACGAGUUAGCAGGACUCAUACCAGCGUGUGAACAUUUCCAGAUGGCUUGACCACUCGGAGCGUGAUAGAGCUGGAAGGUAUGUUUGCUUUGGGAAAUGGCCCAAUGAAGCAGGGGUGUGUUGGGGAGCCCCAACACUGAAAGAAAGGCAUGUCAUGUCUGAGUUUUCCCGGGGUGGGAAUACUUGCCUGCCAGAAUGAACGAACACAACAGUCAUGGGGGAUGCAUGGGAUGUUGGUGUGAGACCACAUUACGGUUGCACACAGAUGCAGAAUGUGUUCACAGCAGAAUUCGUCUGCUCCCUGUGGAAAGAAAUGAGAGGACUCGUGGGAUGUAUGCCACACACGUCUAUGGCUGUGGCUCUGGUGAUGACCCUACAAUGAUGAGGGUCUUGCUAAAUUAGGUGGUCUCAAGUCUUUGUGGUUCACACUCAAAACAAACAAAAACACAGUUGACCCCAGGACAAUGCAGGGUUAGGGUGUUGAUCCCCUGAGCCGUUCACAAUCCGUGUAUGACUUGAUUCCUCCAAGACUUACUCACUAAGAGCCUACCGUUAACAGGAAGCCUUACCGAAAACAUCAACAAUUGAUUAACAGGUAUUUUGUACAUUAUAUGUAUUAUAUACAGGAUUCUUACAAUAAAGUAAGCUAGAGAAAAGAAACUGUUAUUAAGAAAAAUGUAAGAGAAAAUACAUUUGCUGUUGUACUGUACUGUGUUUAUAAAAAUAAUUGGUGUAUAAAUGUACCUGCACAGUUCAAACCUGUGUUUUUCAAGGAUCAACUCUGAUGUGUUACAUAACUGUUUUUUUUUUUCCUUUAAAACCUGGGAAGUUUCAAACACAAAGGUAAACACAAUAGUAAAAUGGACUGGAUUUCAGCAAUUAGCAGCCAAAGAGCAAUUUCGACUCAUUUAUAUCUCUACCCUUCUCUUGCUCAGAUUAUUUUGAAAAAUAACAUCCAAAAUAUUGUAUCAUUUCAUGCAUAAAUACUUGCCCGAGCUCCUAGGUCCUCCCAGUACAUUGAAAGGAUUUUGUUUAAUAAUUCAAGGAAAUGAUUAAUCACACUCCUCAACAGAUGUCGGAUCCUACCUUCCACUGUUUAUCAGUAACAAACCUUCUCAACAGUACAUUACACAGAGCUUAUUCACAUUGAUAAAGGAAAAAACUCAGCUUCUAACAUGUGUGGGCCCUUCUCCUGGGCUCCUGGGGAAGCUAUACUUUAACAUUUACGGAGGUAAAUAUGAUUUGGUGAAACCUCAAAGCAUGGGCUCUAUUUCUGUAUGUCUGCUUCAUAUAAAAACAAAAACCAAAAAACCAAAAAAGGAGCAUUCCAAACAUAAAAAUUAGGAAAACAAAAUCCUCCCUGGUUCUCAUGUUAAAGGCACACAGUCUUAAACAGAGUAAAAGCACAGGACAAAGUCUGUGACUUUCUGGAUGUCCUUCAUCAUGGUGCCUUGUACUCUACGUAAGAAAACAGACCUAACCCUGCAGCCAGUGUCCCUUUCUUGGAGCGGACGACUGAGUACCAGGUGGCCACCCUGACUUGGGCUGCAAUAAAACUCUUUUCCUUUCUCUUUAACAUUUUUUUAAAAGGGUUGUUCCUUUUGGGUUGACAGCAUGACUAUUUUCAGAAGGCAGUAGCAAAGCAAUCUUAUAAAGCCAUUAACAUUAACAUGAGCAAAGCAUUUAGCCAGACUCCUGGUGUACUGAUUUGUUAGAGUUGAUGUAACAAAUCCCGCACCCAGGGCAGCUUGGACCACAGGCAUGUAUUGUCUCCGGGUCCCGGAGGCUGGAAGUCUGCACUCCAGGCGUGGGCAGGGCUGGUUCCUCCUGAGGCCUCCCUCCCUGGGCGUGUAGAUGGCCAUCUGCUCCCUGUGUCCUCACCUGGCCGUCCCUCUGCAUGUCCCCAUCCUACACCUCUUGCUGCAAAGACACGGAUCCUAUGGGAUCGGGUCCACCCUAGUGACCUCAGACUUCCUUUAGACAGACCCGCACUGUCAACUCUUUCCUGGGUCCCUAGCCUGCCAGAGGAUGUCAGAUUUACCAGCGCCACAGUCAGGGGAGCCAGUUCCUUGAAAUGCCUCUCCCUCUGUAUAUUCUAUUGCCUCUGUUUCUCUGGAGAAGCCCAGCUGAUAAAACUUGGAAUUACCUACCAUUGUCUCUCAUCUUUCACCCCUGGUUAUAAAUAGGCCAAGGUCUUUUCUGAGCUUAUUAUUAUUACUAUGAUUAUUACUAUUUUGGUAAUACUUUGGCCUGGGCAGCGAAUAGCACCUACUUAUGCUACUCACGCUCCAUAUUAAAACGGACGAAGGGCUUGUUACACGAGAAGAUGAGCAGGUUUCCUGCCAUGGGAUGUAUGGACCCCUUUUGCCAUCCAUCGUUUCUUCUGUGAUAAUGCUGCCUAGAAACAGCUCCAAACCUCGGGCUCCGUGGCUGCUGGCUCCAGGCUGCCCUCCGACGCGCGUCUUCUCUCACUGGGCUCAGGGAGCAGGAAUUCCCUGGACGUGCAGGUGUCCCAUGCAGGGCAGGAGGGAACGAACGACUGGCAGUAGCUCGCUGCACCUGAAGUUCUUGCUCCAGAAACGAGGUCCCGUCCCUUCCACUCACCUGCCAUCAGCCAGUGGCACACACAAACUGGCGGGGGCUUAUGACAGGGGUUAACGAUCUUCCCAUCCCCCACCCAGUUCCUGAGCAGGAGGCCACAAUUCCAAGGUCAGGUGUCACAGGGCCAUGCUCCCUCCUCCGAAGGCUUUGGGGCAAAUCUCUUCCUGCCUUUUCCAGCUCCGGGGCCUCAGGUGUCUCCUGGCUUGUGGCCACAUCACCCCAGUCUCUACCUGCAUGUUCACCUCCUUCUCAUUGUGCGUCCACACUCCCUCUGCCUUCCUUCUACAACAGAUGAGUGAUUUGGGCCCAGGAUAAUCCAGGAGAAGCUCCUCCUCUCAGGAUGCUGGAUUUCCUCUCUUCCCCCACAGGGAUUAAUAGUCACAGGCUCUGGGAUGAGUAAGAGAUUAUGUUGCUGAGUGGCAGUCUUAAGAGCCAGCCACACACUGCCACACCCAAGGUCAGCGCAGCAGGUGGCUGGGGGUGAGGCCUGGGGCUCUCCACAAGGGGACAUUUGCUGAACUCCAAGCAGCACACAGAGAUUUAGUGCAGGGCAAACCCACCUCCUCUCAGGGAGCGGAAACGAAGCAAGCAGCACAUUGGUGACCUUUCUUAAACUUGUAUUGGUAAAUGGAGUGACCCUGAUGGGAAAGCUGUCCAGGUGGCCCAGCUGGCUCUGCCACAGAGAACGGCCACAGAAGAAAGGAAUGUUACCAUUGGCGGUGGCUCCAAAGAAAAUGUGUCCUUACCCAUUGUUGGUUGUGGAAACCGCAGAGGACCAGCCAUGAUCAGAGGACUCUAUAGAUCGGUCUGUGUGCACAGGAGGGACACACACCUGUGUCACCCUGAGGAGAGAACAGUGGACAAGAAGAGCAGACAACACUUACUCCUUGCCCUGUCCCCCAUGGCCACUGCCAGGCCUGUGCCCAGCUCACCCAGCUCUUCAAUGAUGGCGAAUACUAAUUUCCACCAAGAGCGAAACAAGCCCUGUGGAGUGUGGUUGCAUUCACACCCUGAAUGCAAAAACCAAAACCAAAAUAGCCAAAUUCAUGUUUUUUUUUUUUGUUUGUUUGUUUGUUUUUUAAAGAUUGUACUUAUUUACAAGAGACACACAGGGAGAGGCAGAGGGAGAAGCAGCUCUCCACAGGGAGCCCGAUGUGGGACUUGAUCCCAGGACCCUGGGAUCGCCCUGAGCCUAAGGCAGAUGCUUAGCCGCUGAACCACCCAGGCGUCCCACCAAAAUCAUGUUUUGAGUAAAAAACAACAAAAAAAACCCCACCCUCAAUCCAAUGUGUUUGGCAAGGUCACUAAACAUUUCUCCAGGCCUCAGAGGACAUUGCAUGUCCCACUGGUUUAAGUCAGUUGUGACCCCAUCUACAUGGAGACAGCGUCAGACCCCACAGGCUUGGGGCUCAGUCCCCUAAAAGCACCUCCACCUGCCCCCCAUCAGUCAUCAACGGCAAGUCCAGGCCCAGGGGUAAUUAGAAUGUUCAGUUUCUACAAAGAGGAAAUAAGGUUGUGUUACAUUUUCACAUAUUUUGUUUGACAUAUUUGGCUAUUUGGUUCUUAAGCACGCCCACCUGGACCCGCACGUACCCCGGUAUGCAGGGAGGAUGGAAACAGCGUGUCCGGUGAUGGGAGGCGCCCCGAGUGGAGGGCAGGGGCGAGGGGAGAGCCCGCAGCUCCGGGGUCAUCGCUCGCCACACCGCUGCAUGCCAGAGCCAAGGCCCGGGUGGGCUGCCAGGGCGCAGAACACGGCAGGUGCCCCAGAUUCUUAGCCAGGGCAGUAGUGGGGAGGCGGGGUGCCACGGGAGCCCCUCGGUCGCCCUAGGAGCCUGCGGGGCAGUGGCUUGCAUUCUGGGUCCCCGAUUUCCUUGCCUUGGUGACUCCUUCCCAAGCACACCUGGAGUUGGCCGUUCGCAGCCCCUGGGCAGUUUCCGGGCAGGGACCUGACAGCUAGAGCUGCUCCAGCCAGGCAUGCGCGGGCCUGUGAAGACGGCAGGUCACAGUGUCAGCCAAGUGUCGAUCACGUGGACGCACACCUCGAGUCCUGCAC